AAACAGUAGAUAUUGCAAUAUCCUCCAAGGUGGUGUUUUUUUUUUUUUUUUUUUUUUUGAUUCUAAACCCACGAUAUUGUGGUCGGAGCCUGUGUCUACAAUGUUUUCUUUCAUACCAGUUCUAUCAAUCAUGCCUCCACCCAAUGUUGUUGUUGUUGUUAGGCACGGGCUGUUUUCCGCAACUCGACGUCUUUAUACGCCUAUUUUGCGUGACUGGCUGUGGACACUAUCCGUGCCAGCCUUGCCUUGACCCAAUAGCCCUAAUUAAAUUAACCAAGUAAGAUGUACCCGGGUGUACCCUGUCAAAAGGCAAAGCGUACAGGCCUGUACCCAAGGUAUUAUUACUUUGGUUUUAUUAUUGAUAACAAAAUGCUUAUUGCAAAAAAUAAAGUAAAUUAAUUACUUUUAAUUCUUUCAGAAGGAUUAAGUUGUAAACUUGAAGAUAUUGAUAAGUGCCCAGUAUAAUAAGAAGUGAGAUUUAAAACGUAGAAAUAAGAAUUUCCAUUUACAUCUGGUAUUAUUAAUGUACAAAAGAGAAAAAAAUUGCCGUUAUGUGGUAGAAAAGGUAAUGUUGCAAAUUUUGAUAUGUUACUUAUAAUCUGUGUACUAGUGUCACAGAUUAAAAAAAUUGCAAUAAAUAUCAAAGAUAGAUACGUAGUCCGGUCAGCAGAGUCGGACCGAUUAUUAUAGGUCAAAUAUUUCCUUGUUUUUGUUUUGCUUUUUGACCGAUAGAUGGCGUGCUUUAGAUGUUAAAAUAAAAUUAAUUAUUAAGCUACAUAGCUUGUUAUUGAAGUUUGUUGGAUUUUCUGACUUAUAUGAAUGUAUCUCUACUAUGAUUUUUUUAUUCCGUAUACUUUCGUCAAUUAUUACUAUUUAACUCAAAAACUGUAGUGUUACUUCAAUUUAAAAGGUCCCGCAAACAUUUCUCAUGUUAGAAUAGUUUUAUAAAAAAUUGUGGUCUUAAUAUUUUGUUUUACAACGCCAUCUAGCGGUAAUAAUUUGAGGCUCAAUGUUUUAAUUUGUUUAUUUUUCCACACAUAUACGGAUAGACACAUAAUUGGUUAAUUUAAUUUAUACAAUAUGUGUAAUAUAAAAAACAAAAGUUUUACGAGUAAUAUGCAUGUAAUCAUUACAUAGGGGACACGUUUCAGUUUACUAUAAUUACAAAUUUAUUUAUAUUUAAUAUAAAUCGCUAAAAAUGACGUAUUUACAAGAGAUAAAUAUAUUGUAUGAUUUAUUUA
Melitaea cinxia (Glanville fritillary) is the source of this 1241-nucleotide long non-coding RNA. RefSeq lists it as uncharacterized. The record is from RefSeq and is a predicted model, not a curated record. Lineage: Eukaryota; Metazoa; Arthropoda; Insecta; Lepidoptera; Nymphalidae. The transcript has 2 exons.